AUGGUUGUUGCGCCGUUGAACUCGCCCGCGCUCAUCACCGCCCUCGCCUUCCUUGUCUUGGUGAUCACCCUCCUCGUCUCCACCAGGCGCCGCAGCAACGCGCCGCGGCUGCCCCCGUCGCCGCGGGGCCUGCCGGUCGUCGGCCACCUCCACCUGCUCGGGAGCCUGCCGCACCGAAGCCUCCGGUCCCUGGCCUCGUCCCUCGGCCCGGUCAUGCACCUGCGGCUCGGCCGCGUGCCGACAGUCGUGGCGUCCUCCCCGGCCGCGGCGGAGGAGGCCAUGAAGACCCGCGACCUGGACUUCGCCGGCCGCCCCAGGCUCCUCAUGGUCGACCGCUUCUACUACGGCACCGGCGGGAUCGGCUUCGCGCCCUACGGCGACCACUGGCGCCAGGCGCGCCGCGUCUGCGCCGUCCACAUGCUCAGCGCGCGCCGCGUCGCGUCCCUGGGCCGCGUGCGGGCGCAGGAGGCCGCCGCGCUCGUCGGCCGGGUCCGCCGCGCCGGCAUCUCUGGCGGCGUCGUGAACCUGAGCGACAGCCUCAACGGCUACUCCAACGGUGUCAUCUCCCGCUGCACGCUCGGCGACGCGGACUGCGGGGUGGAGGGCGGCGGCGCGAGGCUGAGGAAGGCGUUCGGCGAGAUGGAGGAGCUGCUGGGCACGGUGCCCAUGGAGGAGACGGUGCCGUGGCUGGGAUGGGUGGACACGGUGACAGGGCUGGAGCGGAAGGCCAAGCGCGUCUUCGAGGAGAUGGACGGGCUGCUGGAGCGGGUCAUCGCCGACCACCGCCAGCGACGCCGUGCCGCCGCCGCCACCGGGGACGUUGAAGACUUUGUGGACGUGAUGCUGGACGCGGACGAGCUGGACACGGGCAGCAUCAAGUCCAUCAUCCUGGACGUGCUCGCCGCCGCCACGGCCACGACCUUCGCGCUGCUCGAGUGGGCCAUGGCGGAGCACAUCAACCACCCGCACGAGAUGCGCAGGCUCCAGGCCGAGGUCCGCUCGGCCGUCGGCCCCGGCCCCGGCGCCGGCGCCGUCGUCACGGAGGCCCAUCUCCCGCGCCUGCCGUACCUGAAGGCCGUGAUCAACGAGACCCUGCGGCUCCACCCGCCGUCGCCGCUGCUGCUGCCGCGGGAGACGCUGGAGGACACCCGGCUGCUGGGCUACGACGUGCCGGCGGGCACCCGGGUCCUGAUCAACGCGUGGGCCAUCGGCCGCGACCCGGCGACGUGGGGGCCCCGCGCCGAGGAGUUCGCGCCGGAGAGGUUCGUCGGGUACGGCCUCGGCGGUGCCGGGCAGGACUUCUCGUUCCUGCCCUUCGGCGCCGGGAGGAGGGGCUGCCCAGGGGUGGAGUUCGCCAUGCUGUCCAACGAGCUGGCGCUGGCGAGCCUCGUGCAUGGCUUCAACUGGGAGCUGCCCGGCGGGAGGGCGCCGCCGGUGGACAUGAGCGAGCUGUACGGCAUCUCCGUCCAUGGAAAUCAUCACUUGUACUGUGUUUCUUUAAAAAAAAUAAAAAUUCUUUGUGGUGUAAUCUGA
This 1533-nucleotide ribosomal RNA is filed under the name Triticum aestivum (bread wheat). RNAcentral's name for it is "partial small subunit ribosomal RNA". Lineage: Eukaryota; Viridiplantae; Streptophyta; Magnoliopsida; Poales; Poaceae. The record is from RNAcentral.